Long non-coding RNA from Xiphophorus couchianus (Monterrey platyfish), 432 nucleotides. RefSeq lists it as uncharacterized. The transcript is spliced from 3 exons. Lineage: Eukaryota; Metazoa; Chordata; Actinopteri; Cyprinodontiformes; Poeciliidae. The record is from RefSeq and is a predicted model, not a curated record.
UUAUGGAGGUCAGGCAGGUCAACCAGCUGGGUGUUUUUUCGUGCUGCUGAACUGUUUAACUCCACUCUGUGCAGGGCUUCCAUACAUCAAGUGAGCAUCACGAAUCAGCACCCAUGCCUAGUCCACCUGCUGUGUUCCCUCAAGAUGCCAGAGGCUGGGAAAGUUAGUUAUAUUUGAAAACGGUAAAGGGAUGACCUCCAUUUGCCGGAAAUGUCUCUACAAGGACAAACCAUUUUGUAAAGCAGAACAGAAUAUUGCAAUGUUUGUAAAAAGCUGGGAAGUUUUUCACAUUUUAGAUAAGUAAGCCCAAACUUUGUUUUUAGAUCCAAUGAUCCAGAUUUACACACUCAGAAUAAGCCCAAUGAUCUUGUCGAUGGGGCGUUAAAACCCCCAUCGACCCUUCAAGGAGAAGCAAGUAUAGCCAAUGAAUGA